RNAcentral lists this ribosomal RNA (440 nucleotides) under uncultured bacterium. RNAcentral's name for it is "partial 16S ribosomal RNA". It matches the Rfam family "Bacterial small subunit ribosomal RNA", at positions 338 to 795 of the family's 1533-position model. The record is from RNAcentral.
CCUACGGGGGGCAGCAGUGGGGAAUAUUGGACAAUGGGCGAAAGCCUGAUCCAGCAAUGCCGCGUGAGUGAUGAAGGCCUUAGGGUUGUAAAGCUCUUUUACCAGGGAUGAUAAUGACAGUACCUGGAGAAUAAGCUCCGGCUAACUCCGUGCCAGCAGCCGCGGUAAUACGGAGGGAGCUAGCGUUGUUCGGAAUUACUGGGCGUAAAGCGCACGUAGGCGGUUUUUCAAGUCAGGGGUGAAAGCCCGGGGCUCAACCCCGGAAUUGACCUUGAAACUGGAUGACUAGAAUCUUGGAGAGGUAAGUGGAAUUCCGAGUGUAGAGGUGAAAUUCGUAGAUAUUCGGAAGAACACCAGUGGCGAAGGCGACUGACUGGACAAGUAUUGACGCUGAGGUGCGAAAGCGUGGGGAGCAAACAGGAUUAGAUACCCGAGUAGUC